AUAACAUGAUCCUCAUAGCAAUGAGGCUCCUGUUUCUCGAACACUGAGGUUAUGAAGAGAGAUGUGGAUCAGAACCUGAGGAGUUGGGGGUCAAAGGUUGGAGAAAAUGGCAGCGGGGAGAGAGAGCAAGGGAAAGUGAGAGAGAGGAGAAGAGCAAAGCCAGAGGCACACAGGAUGUGACACUUGAUCAAUGAGGAGGAGCGUUGUUGUGGCCGACUCGGUGAACCAUCUGAGAGAGAGACCUGUCGUCAGCAAGGGAAGGAGAAGAAGAGAAUGAGGGGGAGAAAUAAAGAGCAGCAACAGUCAAUCGGAAAUGGACACCUCAUGGUGCUGAAACCUGGAAGCAGCAGCAACAGUCAAUCGGAAAUGGACACCUCAUGGUGCUGAAACCUGGAAGCAGCAGCAACAGUCAAUCGGAAAUGGACACCUCAUGGUGCUGAAACCUGGAAGCAGCAGCAACAGUCAAUCGGAAAUGGACACCUCAUGGUGCUGAAACCUGGAAGCAGCAGCAACAGUCAAUCGGAAAUGGACACCUCAUGGUGCUGAAACCUGGAAGCAGCAGCAACAGUCAAUCGGAAAUGGACACCUCAUGGUGCUGAAACCGACCUCUCCUCUCAGGUAGGGAUGAAGACCAGGACAAGUUCCCAUUCUUUGACCGGAAUGUGACAAGAUCCUCAGCAGGGCCCUCUUCCUCAUCAAUGGAUUGUAACAACAACCUCAGCAGGGCCCUCUUCCUCAUCACUGGAUUGUUCCACAUCGGUUGUCUCUUGGUCUGGAUCAUAUUCUGUGUUGUCUUCAACUUCUGACACUUCCUCCUCUAAUGCAUCUUCACUGUCCCUUUCCUGGCCUCUCUCCUCCUCACCAGUGUCAUGAUCAAGAGCCUCACAUACAGUAUAUCGUUUGGUCAUUGUGCUGCCACAGAAUGAAUUGUGAGCCACAAAAAAGGCCUCAAAGAUUUAUAAACCAGAGCUGCGAGAAAAGUUCUAUAUAUUAUUGAAACAAUGUUGCGAUUGUUUGUGAGAAUGACAAAAGGUGUGGUUCCCUUGGGAGUUGCUAUGGAAGCCAAGAAGGGGAGUGUAACGUCCUGACCAGAGUUCUUAUGUGUUUUGCUUGUUUAGUGUUGGUCAGGACGUGAGCUGGGUGGGAAUUCUAUGUUGUGUGUCUAGUUUGUCUGUUUCUGUGUCCAGCCUAAUAUGGUUCUCAAUCAGAGGCAGCUGUCAAUCGUUGUCCCUGAUUGAGAAUCAUAUAUAGGAGAACUCAAUUGUAUACACUUAUUGUAGUCUCACUCAUUAAUUUCUAAUGAUCAGUCAUUUUUGACCAGGAACACCACAGGUGUACAAAAGUUAAAUUAAACACCCAAAUGUUAUGAAAAUC
Molecule: long non-coding RNA, 1374 nt
Organism: Salvelinus fontinalis (brook trout)
Lineage: Eukaryota; Metazoa; Chordata; Actinopteri; Salmoniformes; Salmonidae
Exons: 4
Source: RefSeq, a predicted model, not a curated record